GGGGAAUAUUGGACAAUGGGCGCAAGCCUGAUCCAGCAAUGCCGCGUGGGUGAAGAAGGCCUUCGGGUUGUAAAGCCCUUUUGUACGGGAAGAAAAGCUCCGGGCUAAUACCUUGGGGUCAUGACGGUACCGUAAGAAUAAGCACCGGCUAACUUCGUGCCAGCAGCCGCGGUAAUACGAAGGGUGCAAGCGUUACUCGGAAUUACUGGGCGUAAAGCGUGCGUAGGCGGUUUGUUAAGUCAGAUGUGAAAGCCCCGGGCUCAACCUGGGAAUUGCAUUUGAAACUGGCGAGCUAGAGUGUGGUAGAGGGUGGUGGAAUUCCCGGUGUAGCAGUGAAAUGCGUAGAGAUCGGGAGGAACAUCUGUGGCGAAGGCGGCCACCUGGACCAACACUGACGCUGAGGCACGAAAGCGUGGGGAGCAAAC
RNAcentral lists this ribosomal RNA (425 nucleotides) under uncultured bacterium. Its description in RNAcentral is "bacterial SSU rRNA". It matches the Rfam family "Bacterial small subunit ribosomal RNA", at positions 356 to 773 of the family's 1533-position model. The record is from RNAcentral.